This 570-nucleotide long non-coding RNA is filed under the name Linum usitatissimum (flax). Its description in RNAcentral is "long non-coding RNA (LUSI_LNC008131)". Lineage: Eukaryota; Viridiplantae; Streptophyta; Magnoliopsida; Malpighiales; Linaceae. The record is from RNAcentral.
GGCAUAGAGGAAGGCGGCGUCGUUGAGCAUCGGAUUAAAAAUCAGCAACGAAGUUCAUCUUCAGAGGAGGUUAGUGUAUUGUGUAGUUUUGAAUCUGUGUUUUAAUUUUUAUGGUUUAUCAUGAAUCUGCGAUUUUGGGUUUUGUUGAACCUGCUAUUUCUUUUACUGAAAAACAAUUACAACUUCGUGAUUUCCGUGUGAUUAAUAAGAGCGUAAAAGACCCCGAUUUGAUGGAUUUUUUUUCCAAUUGAAAACGGUUGAAGACCAUAAGGGAUGGAUCGAGAGUGUCAUCGACGAAUGAUAUGGUGUUUCUCCUUUUGCAGCUAUCAAUUGAUGAAUUGUUGUUCAAUUUCAAUUGGAACAAUGAUGGAUGUUAUGUAGCAGUAAGCUUCUUUUUUUGGACUUAGCACAUUUUGUCAAUGACGGGAUGUUAUGUGAUCUUUUCCAUUUGUUGCACUGUUAUCUGAAUGGAUGGUCACUGCAAAAACGGAUUCAUAAAUUCGCCAAUUCAGAACUAUUCGUAUUCUUAAUAUUCGACAAUUCAGAAAACGCAGCCUCUUAAUAUUCGAC